GCUAAUUUUUAACAAUACAGGCAACUUUAGUUAUAACUAAAGCCCAGUUCCCUCCCCUGCAGAGGUAGCCUGCCCUGUCCAGCCUGCCCAGUCCCGCCUGCCCUGUCCCGCCUGCCCUGUCCUGCCUGCCCAUUUGCAAAUAAGAUAAAAUCCCUACGUCUCUUGGGACAAUUAAGAGCUUCCAAGGCCUGCAGCGGGAAGCUGAGAUGCGCUCCUGGCUGUGGGGGCUGCCCAGUUCCAGUCCGGGUCCCACCCUUGUUUGGCACCCUGCCUUGCCUGUUCUGAAAGCUGGAAGCAUCUGGGUGUGGCUGGCCCCAGACACCAUGGGAGACAGGACUGUGCUCCAGGAUGCCAAAGGGAGUGCCUUCUGGCCAAGACUUCCCCAGUGCUCACCCCAGCAGGAUCUGGACAGUUCUGUGGCUCCCUGUUUUUUUUUGGGCGAUCUGAUGACAUGGCAGCCCCUUGCCACAGACACCAAGAUAGAUGUUCCCGGAGCGCAGAGCCCUGGGGAUGCGGAAGGACAGCCUCUGUGAAGAUGGUCACCACAGCAGGAGCCAUUAGUCACCAAGGAUCAUUUGACAUUUUGAAAUGAACUCCUGAGCUCUCUUAAGUAAGCUGGAAUACUGAAUCAUGCCUAAAGCGGUGGCUGUGUGGGGGGCUGGGGGUCCCCGCCAGGAGGGGAGGGAUGCUGGGUGCAGUGCCUCAAUGUGGAGAAGUGAGCAGCACAGCGCAUGCGCUGCCUGUGGUCCCUCCGCUGGGGCUGCAGCCAACGUCAAUUUUGGCGGUAUGGGUGGGUGACCUUGCUUAUCAUCGACCUUUGUGACAAGACUUACUGGCUCCUCUGCAGGAACUUACCAGCGAAUGUCAGCUGAAACCUGAGUUGGCUGAGGCCUAGGCCAAAGGCCCUUCUAGCUGUCCUUUCUCAGGCCCAGAGGAUGCUCACGGAGAAAAGCCAUCAGUCAGUUGAGCCCAUCUCUGGCACCAAAGCUCACAAUGAGGCUAUGCCGAGGAAACUGGCUUUUCAUAGUUAGAUUUGGUUUUCUUCCCUGAGCAUGACAAACGGUACUUUAUGAAGACUCCCUAAAUGCUGGGCAUUGUUCAAUACUUGGAAUCAUGUAAUCCUCACAGCCACCCUGUGAGGAGGGGCUUUCUGUGUCCCUAUCGUAUGGAUGAGAAACAGAAGGCUUGCAGAGACUUUCUUGAGGUGACUUGUCCAGAGGGGCACAGCGAGCGAGUUGUGACUAGGACUCAACGCAGCCACAAAAGAUUGGCUCUCAACCACGGAUCCUGCCACCCCCGGAGCUUUAGGAAACCAGGCUCAUUACAGGUUCUGAUCAAGUGAGGGAUGGAUGGGGCUUCCAGCUGAGGCCCUGGAGCCGUCGGGCAGUGUUAAAUUUCUUACAGCCAGCUACAUAUGGGACAUUCCAACCCAGGUGUGGUCAAGUGAGCCUCUGUCAUGCAGGGUUUCCUAGGUGACCGAGGGGAAUAAUGAUUUUUGUUUUUUUUUUUUUGAGACAGAGUCUUGCUUGGUGGCUCAGGCUGGAGUGCAGUGGGUCGAUUAUGGCUCACUACAGCCUAAACCUCCCGGGAUCAAGCUCCAAUCUCAGCCUACAGAGUAGCUAGGGUCACAUGGGUCCAAGAGGUAAACCCAGAUUUUCUGUUAUAAUCCCAAGGUCAUUCUACUCCAGCCCUAAGGUACCUCCCUCUUUCACUCCUGCAGCCUGUGCUUUUUUAUAUUGUUUUAGACAGUCUCACUCUGUCACCCAGGCCAGAGUACUCAGCUCACUGCAACCUCUGCCUCCCAGGUUGAAGUGAUUCUCAUGCCUCAGCCUCCCAAGUAUCUGGGAUUACAAGCACUCACCACCAUGCCUGGCUAAUUUUUGUAUCUUUAGUAGAGAUGGGGUUUCACCAUGUGGAUCAGGCUGGUCUCAAACUCCUGGUCUGAAGUGAUCCGCCUGCCUUGGCCUCCUGAAGUGCUGAGUUUACAGGCAUGAACCACUGCACCCAGCCUGUGCGGUCUUAUAAGAUUCAUUGGUGAAUGGGCACAUUCAUUUGCUAGGAAUACUUAGAUGUUUGUUUACAAAUGGAUAUCUCCCCAACCAGAUUCUGAGCUCUUUUAAUCAACUCAACACAUUAUGAAACAAACAAACAACAACAAUGCAAGCAGACUAAAAAAAACCAAGUGCGUCUUGUCCCCAGGUAGGAACUUCCCCGUAAAUCUCCUCAUCUUCCAGCACCCCCUUCUCCCCUGCACAGCCAGCAUGGGUUCUGGGGUAGGGUUUAUGUUUCCAAAAGUGCCUAAGAGGAACUUGCUUAUCAUUAGUUCUCCAAAUCUGAGGAAGUCUCUUUUGUUUGCUUGUGUGAAAAUGAAUGUAUAUUUUACCCGGUACACACACAGACACACGUGUGAAUGCGCACACAUACACGUGUGUGUGUAUAUAUAAUACAUAUGUUAGUCAAGCACAGAGAACAAAAUUUGGAGAAGUGCCAGAUCAUGAAGAGUGUUUAAUCCCGGGGUAGGGCCAAAAUGUCUUUAUAGGCAAUUUUCAUCCUUUGUGCAUGCUUGCAGCUUAUCCAAAAAACAUUCUCAAAAUAAAAUAUUGAGUAUGUAUAAAAGAAUAUCAGUAAAAUCGCUUCUUGGCCUUUUGGCUAAGAUCAAGUGCAAAAGAAUAUCAGUAAAAUGUAAGUAAGGUAUGAAGAGACACUCAUAUACUCACCACCUGGGCAAAGAAGUAGAACACAUGACUAAUUCCUCUGAAGUCCCCUGUUAGUCCUUCCCAAAGCCAUCCCUGCCCUUAGCCUUCAGAGGUAACCAUGUCCCUGAAUUCUGUGUUUAUCAGUCUAACUUUUCCUUUAGUUUUACUAUAUAUGUUUGCAGCCCACAAGAGCUGUCUGUUUCAUUUUGUUUUUACAUUUUUAAUAAAUGGAAACAUACUCUAAGUACUUUUCUGCAACUUGGGAGAUUAAUCCAUGUUGCUGCAUAUAGUUCAUUCAUUUUCAGUGAGUAAAGUUUAUUCAUUUUCAAUGCCAUAUAGUAUUUCAUUGUUUGAAUGUAUUACAAUGUAUUUUAUCAUUCUUGAACAGCUGCAUUGUUUAUAGUUUUUACUUUUUAAUAUUAUAAGCGAGGCUAUUAUGAACAUUUUUGUACAGUUCUCAUGGUGUUACACAUUGCCAUUGAGAAAAAUAUCUGAGAGGAAUUUCCGGUCAUACAGUAUGUACAUAUUUAACUUUACUAGAUGAUGUCAGUCUUCCAAAGUGGUUGUACAAACUUAUACUCCCACCACCGUCUUUGGAAGUUUCCAUUGAUCCUCUUCCUCAUCAACAUUCAGCAAUUCUUGUGAGGCUUCUUAAUUUUAGCUGCUGGGUAGGUGAGUAAUAGUGUCUCACUGUAGUUGUAAUUUGCAUUUUGCUGAUUACCAAUGAGGUUUAGCACAUUUUCAUGUUUAUCGGCCAUUUAGAAGUCUUUUCGGAAGUGCCUGUUCGAUUAAGUUUUUUUCUUUUUUCUUUUUCCUCUGAUGCUGAAACUGAAAACCUGCCCAAUACUUUAGUCUAUUUUUCUAUUGGGUUUUUUAAAAUUGCAUUUUAGGUUUUGGGGUACAUGUGAAAAACAUGCAAGACUGUUGCAUAGGCACACACAGAGCCGUGUGUUUUGCUGCCUUCCUCCCCAUCACCUAUAUCUGGCAUUUCUCCCCAUGCUAUCUCUUACCAACUCCCCACCACCUGCUGUCCCUCUCCUGUUUCCCCCCAACAGACCCCAGUGUGUGAUGAUCCCCUGCCGGUGUCCAUGUGUUCUCAUUGUUCAACACCCACCUGUGAGUGAGAACAUGCGGUAUUUGAUUUUCUGUUCUUGUGUCAGUUUGCUGAGAAUGAUGGUUUCUAGGUUCAUCCAUGUCCCUCCAAAGGACACGAACUCAUCAUUUUUGAUGGCUGCAUAAUAUUCCAUGGUGUAUAUAUGCCACAUUUUCCCUGUCCAGUUCAUCAUCGAUGGGCAUUUGGGUUGGUUCCAGGUCUUUGCUAUUGUGAACAGUGCUGCAAUGAACAUUCGUGUACAUGUGUCCUUGUAGUAGAACGAUUUAUAAUCUUUUGGAUAUAUACCCAGUAAUGGGAUUGCUGGGUCAAAUGGAAUUUCUAUUUCUAGGUCCUUGAGGGAUUGCUACACUGUCUUCCACAAUGGUUGAACUAAUUUACACUCCCACCAGCAGUGUAAAAGUGUUCCUGUUUCUCCACAUCCUCUCCAGCAUCUGUUGUCUCCAUAUUUUUUAAUGAUCACCAUUCUAACUGGCAUGAGAUGGUAUCUCAGUGUAGUUUUGAUUUGUGUUUCUCUAAUGACCAGUGAUGAUGAGUGUUUUUUCGUAUGUUUGUUUGCCUCAUGUAUGUCUUCUUUUGUAAAGUGUCUGUUUAUAUCCUUUGCCCACUUUUGAAUGGGUUUUUUUUCUUAUAAAUCUGUUUUAGUUCUUUGUAGAUUCUGGAUAUCAGCCCUUUGUCAGAUGAGUAGACUGCAAAAAUUUUUUCCCAUUCUAUUGGUUGCCAGUUCACUCUAAUGACUGUUUCUUUUGCUGUACAGAAGCUGUGGAGUUUGAUUAGGUCCCAUUUGUCUAUUUUGGCUUUUGUUGCCAAUGCUUUUGGUGUUUUGGUCAUGAAGUCCUUGCCUACACCUACGUCCUGAAUGGUUUUGCCUAGAUUUUCUUCUAGGGUUUUUAUGGUGUUAGGUCUUAUGUUUACGUCUUUAAUCAAUCUGGAGUUAAUUUUAGUGUCAGGUGUUGGGAAGGGGUCCAGUUUCUGCUUUCUGCACAUGGCUAGCCAGUUUUCCCAACACCAUUUAUUAAACAGGGACUCAUUUCCCCAUUGUUUGUUUUUGUCAGGUUUGUCAAAGAUCAGAUGGUUGUAGUUGUGUUGUGUUGCCUCUGAUGCCUCUAUUCUGUUCCAUUGGUCUAUAUCUCUGUUUUAGUACCAGUACUGUACUGUUUUGAUUACUGUAGGCUUGUGGUAUAUUUUGAAGUCCGGUAGUGUGAUGCCUCCCACUGUGUUCUUUUUGCUUAGAAUUGAGUUGGCUAUGCCAGCUCUCUUUUGGUUCCAUAUGAAGUUUAAGGUGGUUUUUUCCAGUUCUGUGAAGAAGGUCAUUGAUAGCUUGAUGGGGAUAGUAGUGAAUUUGUAAAUUACUUUGGGCAGUAUGGCCAUUUUCACGAUAUUGAUUCUUCCUAAUCAUGAACAUGGAAUGUUUCUCCAUCUGUUUGUGUCCUCUCUUAUUUCGUUGAGCAGUGAUUUGUAGUUCUCCUUGAAGAGGUCCUUUACAUUUCUUGUUAGUUGUAUUCCUAGGUAUUUUAUUGUCUCUGUAGCAAUUGUGAAUGGCAGUUUGUUCUUGAUUUGGCUCUCUUUAAGUCUGUUAUUGGUGUAUAGGAAUGCUUGUGAUUUCUGCACAUUGAUUUUGUAUCCCGAGACUUUGCUGAAGUUGCUUAGCAGUAUCAGGAGAUUU
This is a long non-coding RNA of Callithrix jacchus (white-tufted-ear marmoset), 5473 nucleotides long. The record is from Ensembl. Lineage: Eukaryota; Metazoa; Chordata; Mammalia; Primates; Cebidae.